GAUGAACGCUGGCGGCGUGCUUAACACAUGCAAGUCGAACGGUGAAGGCGGAGCUUGCUCUGCUGGAUCAGUGGCGAACGGGUGAGUAACACGUGAGCAAUCUGCCCCUGACUCUGGGAUAAGCGCUGGAAACGGCGUCUAAUACUGGAUACGAGCUGCGAAGGCAUCUUCAGCAGCUGGAAAGAAUUUCGGUCAGGGAUGAGCUCGCGGCCUAUCAGCUUGUUGGUGAGGUAAUGGCUCACCAAGGCGUCGACGGGUAGCCGGCCUGAGAGGGUGACCGGCCACACGGGGACUGAGACACGGCCCAGACUCCUACGGGAGGCAGCAGUGGGGAAUAUUGCACAAUGGGCGAAAGCCUGAUGCAGCAACGCCGCGUGAGGGACGACGGCCUUCGGGUGGUAAACCUCUUUUAGCAGGGAAGAAGCGAAAGUGACGGUACCUGCAGAAAAAGCGCCGGCUAACUACGU
RNAcentral lists this ribosomal RNA (467 nucleotides) under uncultured bacterium. Its description in RNAcentral is "partial 16S ribosomal RNA". It matches the Rfam family "Bacterial small subunit ribosomal RNA", at positions 28 to 506 of the family's 1533-position model. The record is from RNAcentral.